GCUGACACAUCCCUGCCAAUCUCCGGCAGACCCUCCCUCCCAGACUCUCCCACUUCCUGGACAGCAUCCAUGUUGAAGCUGCCUUCAACAUGGAUGCUGUCCAGGAAGUAGGAGGGUCUGGGAGGGAGGGUCUGCUGGAGAUUGGCCGGGAUGUGUCAG
Non-coding RNA from Pelobates cultripes (western spadefoot toad), 159 nucleotides. The record is from the annotation of a GenBank genome assembly. NCBI's taxonomy places the organism in Eukaryota, Metazoa, Chordata, Amphibia, Anura, Pelobatidae.